AGAUAUUCAUCUCUAUGAUCAUAUUGUAGACAUUUUAUCCUCUUGUCACGAGGAUCUUCAACUUCACUCUGAAAUUACUUGAACCUUUCAAUAAUUCAGACUUGUGUUUCAUCAUGUAAUUGUACUACUAUCUACUCAAAUUAUUUGUGAAGUAAGAACAUAACAAUAUCCACUGCGUGCCUCAGCACUCAUUGCACUCCACACAUCAAACUGUAUUACUUCCAACAAGUUACUUUUUGUUCCAUCUCACUGGAAAACGAUGCCUUCAGUCAUCUUGCCCAUGUGGUAUGAUUUGCAUGUCUCAAGUGAUUCAGAAUCAAGUGAGUCCAAACGAUCCAUCUGCAUGGAGUUUCUUCAUGCGUUUAUAAUAAUAGACAUGGUUCGCAUGUCUCAAACUUUUCAAAAAAAAGCGAGUCCAAAGAUCCAUCAACAUGGAGCUUCUUCAUGCUUUUGAUACCAAUAUGACUCAAAUGGCAGUGCCACAAGUAGGUGGUACUAUCAUUAGUACUUUAUAUCUUUUGGCAUCAAUAUUACGAACAUGUGUAUCACUAUGAUCGAGAUUCAAUAAACCAUUCAUUUUAGGUUCAAGACCAUUGAAGGUAUUAUUCAAAUAAACAGAGCAACCAUUAUUCUUUUUAAAUGAAUAACCAUAUGGCGAUAAACACAAUCCAAUCAUGUGUAUGCUCAACGC
Molecule: long non-coding RNA, 691 nt
Filed under: Hordeum vulgare
Lineage: Eukaryota; Viridiplantae; Streptophyta; Magnoliopsida; Poales; Poaceae
Description: long non-coding RNA (HVUL_LNC011842)
Source: RNAcentral